UACGGAGGCAGCAGUGGGAAUAUUGCACAAUGGGCGCAAGCCUGAUGCAGCAACGCCGCGUGAGGGACGACGGCCUUCGGGUUGUAAACCUCUUUUAGCAGGAAGAAGCGAAAGUGACGGUACCUGCAGAAAAAGCGCCGGCUAACUACGUGCCAGCAGCCGCGGUAAUACGUAGGGCGCAAGCGUUAUCCGGAAUUAUUGGGCGUAAAGAGCUCGUAGGCGGUUUGUCGCGUCUGCUGUGAAAUCCGGAGGCUCAACCUCCGGCCUGCAGUGGGUACGGGCAGACUAGAGUGCGGUAGGGGAGAUUGGAAUUCCUGGUGUAGCGGUGGAAUGCGCAGAUAUCAGGAGGAACACCGAUGGCGAAGGCAGAUCUCUGGGCCGUAACUGACGCUGAGGAGCGAAAGGGUGGGGAGCAAACAGGCUUAGAUACCCUGGUAGUCCACCCCGUAAACGUUGGGAACUAGUUGUGGGGUCCAUUCCACGGAUUCCGUGACGCAGCUAACGCAUUAAGUUCCCCGCCUGGGGAGUACGGCCGCAAGGCUAAAACUCAAAGGAAUUGACGGGGACCCGCACAAGCGGCGGAGCAUGCGGAUUAAUUCGAUGCAACGCGAAGAACCUUACCAAGGCUUGACAUAUACGAGAACGGGCCAGAAAUGGUCAACUCUUUGGACACUCGUAAACAGGUGGUGCAUGGUUGUCGUCAGCUCGUGUCGUGAGAUGUUGGGUUAAGUCCCGCAACGAGCGCAACCCUCGUUCUAUGUUGCCAGCACGUAAUGGUGGGAACUCAUGGGAUACUGCCGGGGUCAACUCGGAGGAAGGUGGGGAUGACGUCAAAUCAUCAUGCCCCUUAUGUCUUGGGCUUCACGCAUGCUACAAUGGCCGGUACAAAGGGCUGCAAUACCGCGAGGUGGAGCGAAUCCCAAAAAGCCGGUCCCAGUUCGGAUUGAGGUCUGCAACUCGACCUCAUGAAGUCGGAGUCGCUAGUAAUCGCAGAUCAGCAACGCUGCGGUGAAUACGUUCCCGGGUCUUGUACACACCGCCCGUCAAGUCAUGAAAGUCGGUAACACCUGAAGCCGGUGGCCUAACCCUUGUGGAGGGAGCC
This 1102-nucleotide ribosomal RNA is filed under the name Microbacterium maritypicum. RNAcentral describes it as "bacterial SSU rRNA". It matches the Rfam family "Bacterial small subunit ribosomal RNA", at positions 340 to 1454 of the family's 1533-position model. Lineage: Bacteria; Bacillati; Actinomycetota; Actinomycetes; Micrococcales; Microbacteriaceae. The record is from RNAcentral.